This is a long non-coding RNA of Girardinichthys multiradiatus, 600 nucleotides long. RefSeq lists it as uncharacterized. Lineage: Eukaryota; Metazoa; Chordata; Actinopteri; Cyprinodontiformes; Goodeidae. The record is from RefSeq and is a predicted model, not a curated record. The transcript has 2 exons.
AUUCAAUGUCUCCGGAUCUGAGUCACACUCCGAGCUUCCGAACCCAAGCCGAAAACCCUGAACCAAACCUCCACCGACAAGCUAAACAAGCCGCCUCCUCGACCUGACACCUUCCAGGACCAAAAACUCAAUCCACCAAGGUGAGGCUGAACCAGUCCCUGAGAGUUCCUGCCAUACCGAAUAUCAUUACUGCACAAAAAAUAAAACCUGUAAAACGAUCAGCUGUCUCAAGUUUCUGCAUGUGGGUCAAAAGAACUGAAAAAACUAUGACACUUUCCGUCAGCAGCUUAGCUUGCUCAUCUGUUAAUGUUUACUCCCAGCAACUGAACUUUGAGAAUUCAGACACGAAAGGCACCAAAGCUUAGAGAAUAAUUAAAUCUUGCUCUUUAGUUAAAAAAAAAAAAAAAAACGUCCGAGGACCUGGGGAUGCGGUUUAUCGGUUUGGUAGAAUGUAAUUAUGUCUUGUUUCAACAGAACAAACCAAAAAAAAAAAAUUUAAAUUUGGUGUUUUGGAAUUUAGAAACAAACUAUUUGUACUCAACACUAUUUAAGCAUAAAAGCCUACAUUGUUAAUAAUAAACCUGUGGUUGGUGGAACAAU